CGUACGAUUAAAGCUCUCUUCGGAGAGUGUAUAGAGUGGCGCACGGGUGAGUAACACGUAAGUAAUCUACCUUCGAGUGGGGAAUAACAGUCGGAAACGACUGCUAAUACCGCAUAAUGCAGCGGCACCUAAUGGUGACAGUUGUUAAAGCAUUUAUGUGCUUGAAGAGGAGCUUGCGGCAGAUUAGCUAGUUAGUAAGGUAAUGGCUUACCAAGGCAACGAUCUGUAGCCGACCUGAGAGGGUGGUCGGUCACACUGACACUGAAUAACGGGUCAGACUCCUACGGGAGGCAGCAGUCGGGAAUUUUGGGCAAUGGGCGAAAGCCUGACCCAGCAACGCCGCGUGAAGGAUGAAGUAUUUCGGUAUGUAAACUUCGUAAGAAUGGGAAGAAUAAAUGACGGUACCAUUUGUAAGGUCCGGCUAACUACGUGCCAGCAGCCGCGGUAAUACGUAGGGACCAAGCGUUGUUCGGAUUUACUGGGCGUAAAGGGUGCGUAGGCGGCGCGUCAAGUCAGUUGUGAAAUCUUAAGGCUUAACCUUAAACGGUCAACUGAUACUGUCGUGCUAGAGUGCAGAAAGGGCAAUCGGAAUUCUUGGUGUAGCGGUGAAAUGCGUAGAUAUCAAGAGGAACACCUGAGGCGAAGGCGGGUUGCUUGGCUGACACUGACGCUGAGGCACGAAAGCUAGGGUAGCAAACGGGAUUAGAUACCCCGGUAGUCCUAGCCCUAAACGAUGAAUGCUUGGUGUCU
Molecule: ribosomal RNA, 750 nt
Filed under: uncultured bacterium
Lineage: Bacteria
Description: bacterial SSU rRNA
Rfam family: Bacterial small subunit ribosomal RNA
Source: RNAcentral